CUACGGGCGGAGCAGUGGGGAAUAUUGGACAAUGGGGGAAAACCGGAGCAAGAAAUGCCGCGUGUGUGACGAAGCCCUUCUUUUUUUCCAGCACUUUCGGUUGGGAGGAGGGCGGGGAGAAGAAAGAUUGUUGGAAGUUGACGUUAUCUUCAGAAGAAGCACCGGCUAACUCCGUGCCAGCAGCCGCGGUAAUACGGAGGGUGCAAGCGUUAAUCGGAAUUACUGGGCGUAAAGCGCGCGUAGGCGGCUAGAUCAGUCGGGUGUGAAAGCCCCGGGCUUAACCUGGGAACUGCAUCCGAUACUGUCUAGCUAGAGAACAGGAGAGGAGAGUGGAAUUCCACAUGUAGCGGUGAAAUGCGUAGAUAUGUGGAGGAACACCAAUGGCGAAGGCAGCUCUCUGGCCUGAUACUGACGCUCAGGUGCGAAAGCGUGGGGAGCAAACAGGAUUAGAUACCCGUGUAGUC
Molecule: ribosomal RNA, 464 nt
Filed under: uncultured bacterium
Lineage: Bacteria
Description: partial 16S ribosomal RNA
Rfam family: Bacterial small subunit ribosomal RNA
Source: RNAcentral